RNAcentral lists this ribosomal RNA (1577 nucleotides) under human gut metagenome. RNAcentral describes it as "bacterial LSU rRNA". It matches the Rfam family "Bacterial large subunit ribosomal RNA", at positions 1355 to 2925 of the family's 2925-position model. The record is from RNAcentral.
CUGGGUAAAGGUAUCUUCCCAGGCUUUAACGGAUCCUAAGGUGAGGGUGAAAGCCGUAACCGAUGGAAAACAGGUUAAUAUUCCUGUACUUGUUGUGUAGCGCGAUGGAGGGACGCAGGAAGAUAGGCGGGCCGGGUGUUGGAUAUCCCGGUGCAAGCGUGUAGGAAUAUCCGGUAGGCAAAUCCGCCGGACGAAUCUGAGACGCGAGUCCGUGGGCGCAAGCCCUGAAGCCGUUGAGUCUAUGCUGCCUAGAAAAGCUCCUAAGUUUAUUCACAGCAAUCCGUACCGCAAACCAACUCAGGUGGGUGGGAUGAACAAUCCAAGGCGCUCGAGAGAACUCUGGCCAAGGAACUCGGCAAAAUAACCCCGUAACUUCGGAAGAAGGGGUGCUCUCUAGGGUGACAUGUUUAACAUAUGAAGCCCCGGGGAGCCGCAGUGAAUUGGUGGUGGCGACUGUUUACUAAAAACAUAGGUCUGUGCGAAGUCCUAAAGACGACGUAUACGGACUGACGCCUGCCCGGUGCUGGAAGGUUAAAAGGAGGGGUCAGCGCAAGCAAAGCUCCGAAUUGAAGCCCCAGUAAACGGCGGCCGUAACUAUAACGGUCCUAAGGUAGCGAAAUUCCUUGUCGGGUAAGUUCCGACCUGCACGAAUGGCGUAACGAUCUCCACACUGUCUCGGCCAGAGACUCGGUGAAAUUGCAGUCGCGGUGAAAAUUCCGUGUACCCGCAGAAAGACGGAAAGACCCUGUGCACCUUUACUAUAGCUUGACAUUGGAUUUUGGGCCUGCAUGUGUAGGAUAGGUGGGAGGCUGUGAACCCUGUACGCCAGUAUGGGGGGAGCCAUCCUUGAAAUACCACCCUUGCAUGUUUAAGAUCCUAACUUCUUCCGGUUAUCCCGGAGAAAGACAGUGUCUGGCGGGUAGUUUGACUGGGGCGGUCGCCUCCUAAAGUGUAACGGAGGCAUGCAAAGGUUCCCUCAGCCUGAUCGGAAACCAGGCGCUGAGUGCAAACGCAUAAGGGAGCUUGACUGUAAGAGAGACAUCUCGAACAGGAACGAAAGUUGGCGUUAGUGAUCCGGUGGUCCCGAAUGGAAGGGCCAUCGCUCAUUGGAUAAAAGGUACGCCGGGGAUAACAGGCUGAUCGCAUCCAAGAGUUCACAUCGACGAUGCGGUUUGGCACCUCGAUGUCGGCUCAUCACAUCCUGGGGCUGAAGCAGGUCCCAAGGGUACGGCUGUUCGCCGUUUAAAGUGGUACGCGAGCUGGGUUUAAAACGUCGUGAGACAGUUUGGUCCCUAUCUUCUGUGGGCGAAGGAGAAUUGAGAGGGCCUGUCCCUAGUACGAGAGGACCGGGAUGGACGCACCCCUGGUGAUCCUGUUGUCGCGCCAGCGGCAUAGCAGGGUAGCUAUGUGCGGAAGGGAUAACCGCUGAAAGCAUCUAAGCGGGAAGCCUGCCUCAAGAUAAGUUCUCCCCUCGAAAGAGCUGAAGGGCCCGGGUAGACUACCCGGUCGAUAGGCUGGAGGUGUAAGCGCGGCGACGUGCUCAGCUGACCAGUACUAAUAGCCCGAGCGGCUUAUUU